Molecule: transfer RNA, 73 nt
Filed under: Stegodyphus mimosarum
Lineage: Eukaryota; Metazoa; Arthropoda; Arachnida; Araneae; Eresidae
Rfam family: tRNA
About the family: Transfer RNA (tRNA) molecules are approximately 80 nucleotides in length. Their secondary structure includes four short double-helical elements and three loops (D, anti-codon, and T loops).
Source: Rfam by way of RNAcentral
GCCUUGGUGGUGUAGUGGUCAGCACACUCGGCGCGUAUUCGAGAGAUCCGAGGUUCGAGUCCCGGUGAAGGCA